Molecule: ribosomal RNA, 621 nt
Filed under: fungal endophyte
Lineage: Eukaryota; Fungi
Description: eukaryotic LSU rRNA
Rfam family: 5.8S ribosomal RNA (bases 182-335)
Source: RNAcentral
CAUUAAAGAGUUCUAUAACUCCCAAACCCAUGUGAACAUACCUAACGUUGCCUCGGCAGGUCGCACCUACCUUGUAGCACCCUACCCUGUAGGGCCUACCCGGGAGGUGCGGGUAAGCCUGCCGGCGGCCCACCAAACUCUGUUUGAUAUUGAAUUCUGAACCUAUAACUAAAUAAGUUAAAACUUUCAACAACGGAUCUCUUGGUUCUGGCAUCGAUGAAGAACGCAGCGAAAUGCGAUAAGUAAUGUGAAUUGCAGAAUUCAGUGAAUCAUCGAAUCUUUGAACGCAUAUUGCGCCCAUUAGUAUUCUAGUGGGCAGGACCGUUCGAGCGUCAUUUCAACCCUUAAGCCUUCGUUGCUUAGUGUUGGGAGCCUACGGCAACGUAGCUCCUCAAAGUUAGUGGCGGAGUUGGUUCACACUCUAGACGUAGUAAUUUUUUAUCUCGCCUAUUAGUUGGACUAAUCCCCUGCCGUAAAACCCCCAAUUUAUCAAGGUUGACCUCGAAUCGGUUCAGACAAACUCGCUAAAUUGAAGCAUCUUAGUCAGCGAAGGAAAAGAAACCAACAGGGAUUGCCCUAGUAACGGCGAGUGAAGCGGCAACAGCUCAAAUUUGAAAUCUG